RNAcentral lists this ribosomal RNA (253 nucleotides) under uncultured bacterium. RNAcentral's name for it is "partial 16S ribosomal RNA". It matches the Rfam family "Bacterial small subunit ribosomal RNA", at positions 524 to 776 of the family's 1533-position model. The record is from RNAcentral.
UACAGAGGUCUCAAGCGUUGUUCGGAUUCAUUGGGCGUAAAGGGUGUGUAGGUGGCGCGCUAAGUCGGGUGUGAAAUUUCGGAGCUUAACUCCGAAACUGCAUUCGAUACUGGCGUGCUUGAGGACUGGAGAGGAGACUGGAAUUCAUGGUGUAGCAGUGAAAUGCGUAGAGAUCGGAAAGAACACCAACGGCGAAAGCACUCUGCUGGGCCGACACUGACACUGAGAGACGAAAGCUAGGGGAGCGAAUGGG